UUAUGCGAUACCUGGUGUGAAUUGCAGAAUUCAGUGAAUCAUCGAAUCUUUGAACGCACCUUGCGCUCCUUGGUAUUCCGAGGAGCACACCUGUUUGAGUGUCGUGUAAUUCUCAACCUACAAGGUCUUUGUGGGCCUUGUUAGGCUUGGAUAUUGGAGGAUAUAAUUGUCGGCAUGAGUCGGCUCCUCUUAAAUGCAUUAGCUUGGUCCUUUGUGGAUCGGCUCUCGGUGUGAUAAGUUGUUUAUGCCGUGACCGUGAAGCAUUUUCUAUGGGAAGGAGCUUAUAAUCGUCUCUUCACUUGAGACAAUACACUUUGACAUCUGGCCUCAAAUCAGGUGGGACUACCCGCUGAACUUAAGCAUAUCAAUAAUCGGAGGAAG
RNAcentral lists this ribosomal RNA (381 nucleotides) under Microporus sp. BAB-3649. RNAcentral's name for it is "eukaryotic LSU rRNA". The stretch from base 1 to 104 matches the Rfam family "5.8S ribosomal RNA", at positions 51 to 154 of the family's 154-position model. Lineage: Eukaryota; Fungi; Basidiomycota; Agaricomycetes; Polyporales; Polyporaceae. The record is from RNAcentral.